This 775-nucleotide ribosomal RNA is filed under the name uncultured Neocallimastigales. RNAcentral describes it as "partial large subunit ribosomal RNA". It matches the Rfam family "Eukaryotic large subunit ribosomal RNA", at positions 22 to 634 of the family's 3401-position model. Lineage: Eukaryota; Fungi; Neocallimastigomycota; Neocallimastigomycetes; Neocallimastigales. The record is from RNAcentral.
GUACACGCUGUGACUAGCAUAUCAAUAAGCGGAGGAAAAGAAACUAACAAGGAUUCCCUUAGUAACGGCGAGUGAAGCGGGAAGAGCUCAAAUUUGAAAUCUUCAAGGUUUUACCUUGACGAAUUGUAGUUUAAAGAAGUGUUUUCUGCUGAAGUUUUGGUAAAAGUUCUUUGGAAUAGGACAUCAUAGAGGGUGAGAAUCCCGUAUUUGACCAUUAUUUUCAGCUUUGUGAUACACUUUCAAAGAGUCGGAUUGUUUGGGAAUGCAGUCCAAAAUGGGUGGUAAAUUUCAUCUAAAGCUAAAUAUUGGCGAGAGACCGAUAGCGAACAAGUACCGUGAGGGAAAGAUGAAAAGAACUUUGAAAAGAGAGGUUAAACAGUACGUGAAAUUGUCAAAAGGGAAGCGUUUGACACCAGUGUUGUUUUCUCGAAAAUCAAUUAAAAAUGGCUCGAUUUUGUAUUGCUGAGACCUUAAAAGCUCACUGUACAUUUUUCGUGUCUUUUUUAAUGCACUUUUCGUUUAACAAGUCAACAUCAGUUUCUUUUGUUGUAAAAGGGUCAUUGGAAGGUGGCUUUCUUUUCGGAGAAAGUGUUUAUAGCCUUUGGCCUCUGCAAUCGAAGAGACUGAGGUCUGCAGCGUAGACUCUUCGGGGUUAGAUACAUUUGUGCUAAGUUAUAGCUUUUUAUAGACAACUUGUUGACUAUAAUUAGUCUUGUAGCUUACUCGCUUAUGUUAUUUUACCUACGCUUAGGAUGUUGAACUACUGAGACAUAGA